Molecule: unclassified non-coding RNA, 378 nt
Filed under: plant metagenome
Description: partial contains 5.8S ribosomal RNA, internal transcribed spacer 2, and large subunit ribosomal RNA
Rfam family: 5.8S ribosomal RNA (bases 1-105)
Source: RNAcentral
GAAAUGCGAUAAGUAAUGUGAAUUGCAGAAUUCAGUGAAUCAUCGAAUCUUUGAACGCACCUUGCGCUCCUUGGUAUUCCUUGGAGCAUGCCUGUUUGAGUAUCAUGAAAUCUUCAAAGUAAAUCUUUUGUUAACUCAAUUGGUUUCUACUUUGGUAUUGGAGGUCUUUGCAGCUUCACACCUGCUCCUCUUUGUUGAUUAGCUGGAUCUCAGUGUUAUGCUUGGUUCCACUCGGCGUGAUAAGUUAUCUAUCGCUGAGGACACUGUAAAAGGUGGCCAAGGUAAAUGCAGAUGAACCGCUUCUAAUAGUCCAUUGACUUGGACAAUACUUUUAUGAUCUGAUCUCAAAUCAGGUAGGACUACCCGCUGAACUUAAGC